This 667-nucleotide ribosomal RNA is filed under the name Chryseobacterium sp. RNAcentral's name for it is "bacterial SSU rRNA". It matches the Rfam family "Bacterial small subunit ribosomal RNA", at positions 48 to 715 of the family's 1533-position model. The record is from RNAcentral. Lineage: Bacteria; Pseudomonadati; Bacteroidota; Flavobacteriia; Flavobacteriales; Weeksellaceae.
CUAACACAUGCAAGCCGAGCGGUAGAAGAUCUUCGGAUCUUUGAGAGCGGCGUACGGGUGCGGAACACGUGUGCAACCUGCCUUUAUCAGGGGGAUAGCCUUUCGAAAGGAAGAUUAAUACCCCAUAAUAUAAUGAGUGGCAUCACUUAUUAUUGAAAACUCCGGUGGAUAGAGAUGGGCACGCGCAAGAUUAGAUAGUUGGUAGGGUAACGGCCUACCAAGUCAGUGAUCUUUAGGGGGCCUGAGAGGGUGAUCCCCCACACUGGUACUGAGACACGGACCAGACUCCUACGGGAGGCAGCAGUGAGGAAUAUUGGACAAUGGGUGAGAGCCUGAUCCAGCCAUCCCGCGUGAAGGACGACGGCCCUAUGGGUUGUAAACUUCUUUUGUAUAGGGAUAAACCUUUCCACGUGUGGAAAGCUGAAGGUACUAUACGAAUAAGCACCGGCUAACUCCGUGCCAGCAGCCGCGGUAAUACGGAGGGUGCAAGCGUUAUCCGGAUUUAUUGGGUUUAAAGGGUCCGUAGGCGGAUCUGUAAGUCAGUGGUGAAAUCUCAUAGCUUAACUAUGAAACUGCCAUUGAUACUGCAGGUCUUGAGUAAAGUAGAAGUGGCUGGAAUAAGUAGUGUAGCGGUGAAAUGCAUAGAUAUUACUUAGAACACCAAUUG